GAAUUCGAUUAACGCGAAGAACCUUACCUGGCCUUGACAUCUGUCGAAUCCUGCAGAGAUGCGGGAGUGCCGCAAGGAACGACAAGACAGGUGCUGCAUGGCUGUCGUCAGCUCGUGUCGUGAGAUGUUGGGUUAAGUCCCGCAACGAGCGCAACCCUUGUCCCUAGUUGCCAGCACGUAAUGGUGGGAACUCUAGGGAGACUGCCGGUGACAAACCGGAGGAAGGUGGGGAUGACGUCAAGUCCUCAUGGCCCUUACGGCCAGGGCUACACACGUACUACAAUGGUCGGUACAGAGGGUUGCGAAGCCGCGAGGUGGAGCCAAUCCCAGAAAACCGAUCCCAGUCCGGAUCGGAGUCUGCAACUCGACUCCAUGAAGCCGGAAUCGCUAGUAAUGGCGCAUCAGCUACGGCGCCGUGAAUACGUUCCCGGGCCUUGUCACACCGAAUCACUA
Molecule: ribosomal RNA, 453 nt
Filed under: uncultured soil bacterium
Lineage: Bacteria
Description: bacterial SSU rRNA
Rfam family: Bacterial small subunit ribosomal RNA
Source: RNAcentral